This 327-nucleotide unclassified non-coding RNA is filed under the name uncultured fungus. Its description in RNAcentral is "sequence contains ITS1". The stretch from base 1 to 103 matches the Rfam family "5.8S ribosomal RNA", at positions 50 to 154 of the family's 154-position model. Lineage: Eukaryota; Fungi. The record is from RNAcentral.
GAAGUGCGAUAAGCAAUGCGAAUUGCAGAACCGUGAGUCAUCAGAUUUUUGAACGCAAUUGGCGCCAGUUGGCUCCCCAACCGGCAUGCUUGCUUCAGUGUCUUGUUUUCUCCUCACCAAAACCUUAAUGUGAGAGAUACCCUUCUCUUACUAAGUACGAAAGCACUCUGAGCUCUGCGAGCGGCUUAUGGUCGCACUCAAUGCAGCAGUCACAUUGUUCACAAUGUGAACUCAUUGAGAGUAGAGUCAGCGCAACUUGUUGCUAGUGCUUAGGCCCUCAAACUCUUCUUGCAUCUGAAGUCAAGCAGGAUAACCCGCUGAACUUAA